Molecule: ribosomal RNA, 301 nt
Filed under: uncultured bacterium
Lineage: Bacteria
Description: partial 16S ribosomal RNA
Rfam family: Bacterial small subunit ribosomal RNA
Source: RNAcentral
CAGCAGCCGCGGGAACACGUAGGUGGCAAGCGUUGUCCGGAAUUAUUGGGCGUAAAGGGCUCGCAGGCGGUUUCUUAAGUCUGAUGUGAAAGCCCCCGGCUCAACCGGGGAGGGUCAUUGGAAACUGGGAAACUUGAGUGCAGAAGAGGAGAGCGGAAUUCCACGUGUAGCGGUGAAAUGCGUAGAGAUGUGGAGGAACACCAGUGGCGAAGGCGACUCUCUGGUCUGUAACUGACGCUGAGGAGCGAAAGCGUGGGGAGCGAACAGGAUUAGAUACCCCUGUAGUCCCUGUCUCUUAUAC